CCUACGGGAGGCAGCAGUGAGGAAUAUUGGUCAAUGGGCGCGCGCCUGAACCAGCCAAGUAGCGUGAAGGAUGACUGCCCUACGGGUUGUAAACUUCUUUUGUAAAGGAGUAAAGUGAGGCACGUGUGCCUUUUUGUAUGUACUUUGUGAAUAAGGAUCGGCUAACUCCGUGCCAGCAGCCGGGGUAAUACGGAGGAUCCGAGCGUUAUCCGGAUUUAUUGGGGUUAAAGGGAGCGUAGAUGGGUUGUUAAGUCAGUUGUGAAAGUUUGCGGGUCCACCGUAAAAUUGCAAUUGAUACUGGCAGCCUUGAGUACAGUUGAGGUAGGCGGAAUGCGUGGUGUAGCGGUGAAAUGCUUAGAUAUCACGAAGAACUCCGAUUGCGAAGGCAGCCUACUAAACUGCAACUGACAUUGAUGCUCGAAAGUGUGGGUAUCAAACAGGAUUAGAUACCCUAGUAGUC
Molecule: ribosomal RNA, 460 nt
Filed under: uncultured bacterium
Lineage: Bacteria
Description: partial 16S ribosomal RNA
Rfam family: Bacterial small subunit ribosomal RNA
Source: RNAcentral